CGGUUUAGUUCAUUACCAGUCUUCAAUAAUAUUGAUUUAUCGAGUCUCAGUUUCAUACGACAGCCGGUACACCCCAGAGGAGUGGCUCCAGAGAACACAGGGGGUUGGUUUUCUAGCUGUAAGCUACAAGAUGGACAAAGCACUCUGUGUUCUCAGGAGAAAUGAAGUUGAGAUAAUCAUGAUAUACUGUCUCGUGUUGCAUCCUCACCGCAGAUAAAAGUUGCAAAGCAGCUAGCAAGCUUGAUAACGGAGGGGUGUGGAUGAUCCAACAAAUGUUCGGACACUGCUGUUAAAACUCUAAUGACCUAUUUUCUUUUACUGGAUAAAAAGUAAUCUAGAUCUGUCUCCAAUGCAUGCCGCAUUUUACAGUCAACCAAAGAUCAGCUACACGUCGGCAGUUAAAGCUGCACUUAUUUUUUAAUGUUUAUUUUGAUCAGCAAGUGAGUGUAUUCUUAGCAUAUUAUACAAGUUUGAAUGUGCCUAUAACUCCACUAGCAAGAGAGUUAUAUUGGUAUGUAAAAAUUGAAUAAUAUAAGAUUAUUAUUGA
Molecule: long non-coding RNA, 547 nt
Organism: Populus trichocarpa (black cottonwood)
Lineage: Eukaryota; Viridiplantae; Streptophyta; Magnoliopsida; Malpighiales; Salicaceae
Exons: 2
Source: RefSeq, a predicted model, not a curated record